This 492-nucleotide ribosomal RNA is filed under the name uncultured bacterium. RNAcentral's name for it is "partial 16S ribosomal RNA". It matches the Rfam family "Bacterial small subunit ribosomal RNA", at positions 29 to 507 of the family's 1533-position model. The record is from RNAcentral.
AGUGAACGCUGGCGGUAGGCCUAACGCAUGCAAGUCGAACGGCAGCACAGUAAGAGCUUGCUCUUACGGGUGGCGAGUGGCGGACGGGUGAGGAAUACACCGGAAUCUACUUUUUCGUGGGGGAUAACGUAGGGAAACUUACGCUAAUACCGCAUACGACCUACGGGUGAAAGCAGGGGAUCUUCGGACCUUGCGCGAUUGAAUGAGCCGAUGUCGGAUUAGCUAGUUGGCGGGGUAAAGGCCCGCCAAGGCGACGAUCCGUAGCUGGUCUGAGAGGAUGAUCAGCCACACUGGAACUGAGACACGGUCCAGACUCCUACGGGAGGCAGCAGUGGGGAAUAUUGGACAAUGGGCGCAAGCCUGAUCCAGCCAUACCGCGUGGGUGAAGAAGGCCUUCGGGUUGUAAAGCCCUUUUGUUGGGAAAGAAAAGCAGCAGGUUAAUACCCCGCUGUUCUGACGGUACCCAAAGAAUAAGCACCGGCUAACUUCGUG